AUCACAGGCAGUGGAGAGAAGAGCCAAUGUCAAAUACAAUAUGAAAGAAGUUCAUCUCAGAAACCUCACGGCUCCUGUCAGCUCCUUUCAGAUAGAAGAACCACUAGUUCCUGACAGCAUGUGCCUGGCGUGCAGUUCAGGGAUGUGACAUAAUGGAUCAAGGCCAUUCUGUAGUCUGUGGAGCCAUUACCUUUGCACAAAGAGCAAGUACCUGAGCUGCUACAAAUGAAAUAGCACACGCGCUCUGGAGAACGCAUGGGCGGUGUGGAGACUGGGCAUGCCUAGAAGACACGAGGCCACUGGGGCAGGGCCUGGGCCUCCAAGGACAAACACACCAAGGCGAAGUUUCUCACAGUAGAUGGAUCUAUCUUGGAAUCAAUGCUGUGCUCCCUGGAGGGAUCCAUAACCCACUCACUCCAGCAGUUUGUCUCACAUGGAAGCACCAGAUUGCUGAAUCUGUGGAGGUCAACUGCAGAACUACAAGGGCUUUCUCCUAUGGGCCUAGUCCUCCAUGAUUUCUAAUAACAAGAAGCAAACACAAGAUUUCAGGGCUCUCCUGCUGCUGCUUCCAUAUUAGGUGGUCGUCAAGCGACCACAGCCUGACAGGCCAUUAUUAUCCCAUUAACUAUGCCAUUGACUUAUACAUCAUCUAAUGUGUCCUCUUCAUGGUAUGUUAAUGUCCCUCCGAAAAGAGCUAAAAAUAAUGAAUGUUUGUCAAACAUAGAAGAAAAUCCAUUUCCAAAGACGACCUAUAGUGAGAAGGGAAUAGGAGCAAAGCGUUCAUCCUAGAAAUUUAAAUGCUAAGU
Molecule: long non-coding RNA, 806 nt
Organism: Talpa occidentalis (Iberian mole)
Lineage: Eukaryota; Metazoa; Chordata; Mammalia; Eulipotyphla; Talpidae
Exons: 6
Source: RefSeq, a predicted model, not a curated record